This is a long non-coding RNA of Candoia aspera, 320 nucleotides long. RefSeq lists it as uncharacterized. NCBI's taxonomy places the organism in Eukaryota, Metazoa, Chordata, Lepidosauria, Squamata, Candoiidae. The transcript is spliced from 2 exons. The record is from RefSeq and is a predicted model, not a curated record.
ACCUCUUUGUUUUCCCAUUUCUUGGGAUUGAAUUUUCCUUUCUACUCCUCUUAAGAAAUCCAUGAGGAUUCAAUCAGCCUUGAAGCAACUCAGGAGGCUUCCAGCUUGAGACCUGGAAAUCUAGAAACGCUUGAAGCAUUUGGAGGUCUUGAACUUUAGCAGAUUCCUCCUAUUAAGUGGAAAUCACCCAAAAGUACUGGCCCACGGCUGGACCUCCCUUUGGAAGGAUGAGAUGUUAUGUGACAAUUAGGAGUAACCUUUUCAUCAAAUCAAAGUGCAAAAAUUGAGGGGGAACUGAAUAAAAGAAUAUUCCACUACAA